UACGAAGGGGGCUAGCGUUGCCCGGAAUCACUGGGCGUAAAGCGCACGUAGGCGGAUUGCUAAGUCAGGGGUGAAAUCCUGGAGCUCAACUCCAGAACUGCCUUUGAUACUGAAGAUCUUGAGUUCGGGAGAGGUGAGUGGAACUGCGAGUGUAGAGGUGAAAUUCGUAGAUAUUCGGAAGAACACCAGUGGCGAAGGCGGCUCACUGGACCGGCAUUGACGCUGAGGUGCGAAAGCGUGGGGAGCAAACAGG
Molecule: ribosomal RNA, 253 nt
Filed under: uncultured bacterium
Lineage: Bacteria
Description: partial 16S ribosomal RNA
Rfam family: Bacterial small subunit ribosomal RNA
Source: RNAcentral